This 549-nucleotide ribosomal RNA is filed under the name uncultured Planctomycetota bacterium. Its description in RNAcentral is "bacterial SSU rRNA". It matches the Rfam family "Bacterial small subunit ribosomal RNA", at positions 338 to 896 of the family's 1533-position model. Lineage: Bacteria; Pseudomonadati; Planctomycetota. The record is from RNAcentral.
CCUACGGGAGGCUGCAGUCGAGGAUCUUCGGCAAUGGGCGCAAGCCUGACCGAGCGACGCCGCGUGCGCGAUGAAGGCCUUCGGGUUGUAAAGCGCUGUCGAGGGGGAGGAAGCCCGCAAGGGUUGACCUAUCCCUGGAGGAAGCACGGGCUAAGUUCGUGCCAGCAGCCGCGGUAAGACGAACCGUGCGAACGUUGUUCGGAAUCACUGGGCUUAAAGGGCGCGUAGGCGGCCGGCCAAGUCCGAGGUGAAAGCCCCCGGCUCAACCGGGGAAGGGCCUUGGAUACUGGUCGGCUGGGGGGAGGUAGGGGCGGGCGGAACUUCCGGUGGAGCGGUGAAAUGCGUUGAUAUCGGAAGGAACGCCGGUGGCGAAAGCGGCCCGCUGGACCUCUGCCGACGCUGAGGCGCGAAAGCCAGGGGAGCGAACGGGAUUAGAUACCCCGGUAGUCCUGGCCCUAAACGAUGGGGACUAGGUAGUGGGCCGGUCUGGGCUCACUGCCGGAGCGAAAGUCUUAAGUCCCCCGCCUGGGGAGUAUGGUCGCAAGGCUG